UACAUUUGAAUCAAAUCCCUGAAUACACUUGAAAAGGAAUUGUCCAGUAGUACAGUAGGAUGCUGUACUACUGAAUGGUCAGGUCAGAGGUGUAGAAGGGUCAGGUCAGAGGUGUAGAAGGGUCAGGUCAGAGGUGUAGAAGGGUCAGGUCAGAGGUGUAGAAGGGUCAGGUCAGAGGUGUGAUUGGGUCAGGUCAGAGGUGUAGAAGGGUCAGGUCAGAGGUGUGAUUGGGUCAGGUAAGAGGUGUAGAAGGGUCAGGUCAGAGGUGUAGAAGGGUCAGGUCAGAGGUGUAGAAGGGUCAGGUCAGAGGUGUAGAAGGGUCAGGUCAGAGGUGUAGAAGGGUCAGAGGUGUAGAAGGGUCAGGUCAGAGGUGUAGAAGGCUCAGAGGUGUAGAAGAGUCAGGUCAGAGGUGUAGAAGGGUCUGGUCAGAGGUAUAGAAGGGUCAGGUCAGAGGUGUAGAAGGGUCAGAGGUGUAGAAGGGUCAGGUCAGAGGUGUAGAAGGCUCAGAGGUAUAGAAGAGUCAGGUCAGAGGUGUAGAAGGGUCAGAGGUGUAGAAGGGUCUGGUCAGAGGUGUAGAAGGGUCUGGUCAGAGGUGUAGAAGGGUCAGGUCAGAGGUGUAGAAGGGUCAGGUCAGAGGUGUAGAAGGGUCAGGUCAGAGGUGUAGAAGGGUCAGGUCAGAGGUGUGAUUGGGUCAGGUCAGAGGUGUGAUUGGGUCAGGUCAGAGGUGUGGAAGGGUCAGGUCAGAAGUGUGGAAGGGUCAGGUCAGAAGUGUGGAAGGGUCAGG
Long non-coding RNA from Oncorhynchus tshawytscha (Chinook salmon), 784 nucleotides. NCBI's taxonomy places the organism in Eukaryota, Metazoa, Chordata, Actinopteri, Salmoniformes, Salmonidae. The record is from Ensembl.